Oryza nivara is the source of this 210-nucleotide non-coding RNA. The record is from Rfam. NCBI's taxonomy places the organism in Eukaryota, Viridiplantae, Streptophyta, Magnoliopsida, Poales, Poaceae.
AAUAAGUGCAGUUUUAGCACUGUUCAUGUCCAACGUUUGACCGUUCGUCUUAUUUGAAAAAAGAUUAUGAUUAGUAUUUUUAUUGUUAUUAGAUGAUAAAACAUGAAUAGUACUUUAUGUGUGACUAAUUUUUUUAAUAUUUUUCAUAAAUUUUUCAAACAAGACGGAUGGUCAAAACGCUUAGCACGCAUAUCUAUGACUGCAUUUAUU